AUACUUACCUGGCAGGGGAGAUACCAUGAUCACAAAGGUGGUUUUCCCAGGGUGAGGCUCAUGUGUUGCACUCUGGAUGUUCUGACCCCUGCAAUUUCCUCAAAUGUAGGAUAAUUUGUAAUUUGCAAUUUCUCC
This 135-nucleotide small nuclear RNA is filed under the name Carlito syrichta (Philippine tarsier). RNAcentral describes it as "U1 spliceosomal RNA (ENSTSYG00000019919.2)". It matches the Rfam family "U1 spliceosomal RNA". From Rfam's summary of the family: U1 is a small nuclear RNA (snRNA) component of the spliceosome (involved in pre-mRNA splicing). The record is from Rfam by way of RNAcentral. Lineage: Eukaryota; Metazoa; Chordata; Mammalia; Primates; Tarsiidae.